This 211-nucleotide unclassified non-coding RNA is filed under the name plant metagenome. RNAcentral describes it as "partial contains small subunit ribosomal RNA, internal transcribed spacer 1, and 5.8S ribosomal RNA". The record is from RNAcentral.
UUUCCGUAGGUGAACCUGCGGAAGGAUCAUUCAUAAUAAAGUGUUUUAUGGCACUUUUUAAAAAUCCAUAUCCACCUUGUGUGCAAUGUUAGAUCUCGUCAAUGUUGGCGAGAUUUUUAUACAUCAACUCAUUCUUUAACUAAUUUGUCUGAAAAAUAUUAUGAAUACUUAAUUCAAAAUACAACUUUCAACAACGGAUCUCUUGGCUCUC